Molecule: unclassified non-coding RNA, 335 nt
Filed under: uncultured fungus
Lineage: Eukaryota; Fungi
Description: partial contains 5.8S ribosomal RNA and internal transcribed spacer 2
Rfam family: 5.8S ribosomal RNA (bases 1-134)
Source: RNAcentral
UGGUUCUGGCAUCGAUGAAGAACGCAGCGAAAUGCGAUAAGUAAUGCGAAUUGCAGAAUUUCCGGGAGUCAUCGAAUCUUUGUACGCACAUUGCGCCCUUUGGCAUUCCGAAGGGCAUGCCUGUUCGAGCGUCAUUAUCAUCCCCUCAAGCCCCCGGGCUUGGUGCUGGGUGCGGCCCGCCCCCCGUGGCGGGGUCCACCUCAAAGACAACGCCGGCGUCCCCGACGGCCGCGGUGCAACGAGCUCCCCGAGCACGCACCGUCCGACCGCGGAGGCCCCGGCCAACCCACCAUCACACAAGGAUUGACCUCGGAUCAGGUAGGGAUACCCGCUGA